GUGUUGCUCCACAUCAGACAUCCAGAGAGGGGCCUUUUGUGUCUGACUUUGCCCGAAGGCAGUUGUCUUGCAAUGCAGAUUAAUAAUUACAGAGUACACAACAUCGGGGAAAACAAUUUGAAGAUCUUUGAUGUCAAACAUGAGAGAAACCAAAAUUACAAAGAAAAAAAAGUUGACGAGGAAAGGUCUUGAAAGAUGGUCUUUCUUUCUGCCUCCCGCUCGCUGCAGUAUUUCCUGUUAUUGUUGCUUUCUACUGUUUCACAGUGCGAACAUUAAGGAAGACUUAAAAGAGAGGCGUCCGUGGCAACUGAAGAUGAGAAGCUGCUAUAUAUAAUAUUUCACAGGACUUGAUCCAUCUGUUUACAUGUCGGGGCACAUCAAUAAACUCAUGAGAUGUUUGCAAGCAUUAGGAUGAAUAGAAACCAGGGCCAAAUAUAGGAGGAAAGAGCUCCCUGAGUCAUGACGAUGUGGGCCUGAGUUAUGAUUAUGGGCUGUAAUUGAAAGGUUGAGGGUGCGCUUUCCUUUGCUUCACUGUGAAACUCCCUUUAACUUAAAAAGCCAUGAAUCACUGGAAUGUGAAUUAACAGGCUCUCCUGUUUUGUAGUUUACCAAACCAAAACUCUUUUUGUCUUGCACAAUACCAAAUGAUUGGCCUUGGGCGGCCUUCAAAACACAGAUGAUUGCUACCCCCUUUAAUAACCGCAUUUAAUGAAUAUCAACAAAUCCCAAACAAAGCGACCACAGCCGCAACUUAAAAUUAAAUCAAAAUAUGUUUCCUGUGAGAUUCUGACAAAAGCCACUUUUUAGCUUGUGUUUAUUUGGGAUGUGCUUCUUCUGUGUCUUGGCCCUCCUUGUGUAGGUGAGUCUUGUUUAGAGGUUGUUAACACCAAUUUCUUACUUGUUCUGUUUAAAACACACCCGACCAACAACAGGAAACAUCUCUCUACAUUACACCAUCACUACACUACGUUACCUGUGAGUGACGGACAGUGUUGGGAACUGUGUGUUAACGUUGUGACGUAAUUACAGUUUGAACAGGAACGUUAUAGAUUCUUCAGGUGGGACGGAGUUAAAGCAGGACCGUAUUGUUGAACAGAAUCAGCGUACUACAAAUAAUAACCCAAACUACACAUAAACUGAAUUCUGACUGGAUUGAGCGCUGGUGUUAUUUUCACGCCACAUGUUGACAUUGCAGAGCCGUAUCAUUUUGAUUUAAUAAAUGGCUCAAUUACGGCUCAAUUACUCGUUGAGUUUGGAAAUGUCAUGCAUUCACAACAUUAUGAAAGAAUUUCCUUGCUGGGGAAGCCGUAAAGCUCUCGGCAGGAUCCGAAGGCCACCUUCAGCCUUCAGCCCGGGCCUUUAACAGUUGCCCUCAGAACAGGCAGAAAACCUCCCGGCCCGUCAGAGGACUUUCGGGGCUCCAGUAGUCAGAUAAUACUUUACGCUUUUUUACGAUUUUUACGGUUUUUCCAUACAAAUGAAGAGGCACAAUAGCUUCAUAUCGUUUCUUCCAGGUGCACUGAUAAAUGAAAUGUCACAGUUUCUGAGACAUGUUUUUCAAGGGGGUCGUGUUCCCGAAACCAAAUCACGUCCACAGAGUUUGAGAAAGAAUUCAGUGUUGGCAUUACGAGUGUCAAACCUGCCGUGUUCACAGCUUCUCCACUGCAGACAUUCUGGAUGCACUGAAGGGAAUUUGACAGCAGGAGCUGAGGCGUCGAAGCUAAAACGACACCGAGGAAAAGCCAUAUUCUUCUUGAAGCGUGACAGCGAGUUCCGUGUUCGAGGGAUGUUGGCGGAUCAUCGCAGAUGUCCCGUGUUUGCUGAAAACACAUCAUCCAUCUGGGGGGGUUGUGGCGGUUCUGAUGUGUCUUCUGCUUUUUACCAUAGCGGUCAUUUUUUAUUAUUUUAAAACAACUGAGAAUAUAUCACAUAUAUUUCAGCCACUAUUUUAGUUGGCUGUCAAUCACACUCGUUGAGUCCACAUUAUACUUCACUAGUUUACCAAUGUGAGAAAUAUGCAGCUGAACUACAAUCACAGAUUUAAAAUAGAACAGAGGAAAAGAAGUGUUAAGGAUGGACCAGUUUGGGCCACUGACACCUCGUAAACAGGACUCUGCUGCAAACGUUCGUGAAGGUGCUGGAUCAUAGUUGUCAUGGUUUAAGUGUAACCUCGACAGUUAUAUUUUGCGUUUUCCCUGUUGAUAUUAUUAUUAUUGGGUUAUUCCAAGAGGUGAGGUUUUGUAAAAAUGCUUUUUUUUCUCCUUUUCCUGUACCAGGAGUUUAAAUAGGCUGUUACCCUUGGUGUUAAAUAUAACUCUUUCUGUGGGUGUUUCGCAUUAAAGUCAUUCUGUGGUUUACAGAUGGAAACAGCUGCAGGAAGUGUUCAAACGGAUAGAACCAAAUUUAACACAGUAAAAACAUAAUUACUGUUCUGAUAGCGAGGCUAAGAUCCAUGAACUUAGGCUGUUGUCUUUUGAGAGGAAAGCAUUGUAAAUUGUGAACACAUACACAUAGAACUUUCUUCAAGUUGAUCUUAUCUUCAGAACGGUACCUUGUCUUUCUCAGUUGUCUAAAUUGUGAGCCAAUCAGUUUAUGCUGUUGGCAAAGACGGAGUGGUUGUUUCCGUUCAAUCAGGUUUCGACCUCAGCAAACACCUGCUUCAUUUGGUGUUUACCUCACUUGAUUUUCAUCUGCACUGCUCCAACUGACUAAACUACCAAAAUAAAAGCCCACAUGAAUUCCUCCUGACAUGGUUGAUGGGAUGCCAGCCCUAUUCGCAGGGUGGACGUUAACGGCAUCUGUGUUGAAGUAAAGUUUACAGGCAGAGUGGGCAGCUGUUCUCUCAGCAGGUAGAAGGCGCGGUGAAACCACAUGGAGCAGGUGUGUGUGUGUGUGUGUGUGUGUGUGUGUGUGUGCGCUUUGGCCGGUUAGGGAGCUGACACGCCACAGCAGGUGAGGAAGAAGACGAUCCAGG
Molecule: long non-coding RNA, 2974 nt
Organism: Gasterosteus aculeatus aculeatus (three-spined stickleback)
Lineage: Eukaryota; Metazoa; Chordata; Actinopteri; Perciformes; Gasterosteidae
Source: Ensembl